CUCACGCAGCCCGACUUGAACGGAGCUCUUUUUGCAGGAACGAAGUGCAAGCAAAAAAGCGGGAGUGGAAGGCGGUAAAGCUG
Molecule: unclassified non-coding RNA, 83 nt
Filed under: Chryseobacterium formosense
Lineage: Bacteria; Pseudomonadati; Bacteroidota; Flavobacteriia; Flavobacteriales; Weeksellaceae
Description: Flavo-1 RNA
Source: RNAcentral